This 795-nucleotide ribosomal RNA is filed under the name uncultured bacterium. RNAcentral describes it as "bacterial SSU rRNA". It matches the Rfam family "Bacterial small subunit ribosomal RNA", at positions 8 to 796 of the family's 1533-position model. The record is from RNAcentral.
AGAGUUUGAUCAUGGCUCAGAUUGAACGCUGGCGGCAUGCUUUACACAUGCAAGUCGAACGGCAGCACGAGUGCUUGCACUUGGUGGCGAGUGGCGAACGGGUGAGUAAUACAUCGGAACGUGUCCUGAAGUGGGGGAUAACGCAUCGAAAGAUGUGCUAGUACCGCAUAUUCUCUGAGGAGGAAAGUAGGGGAUCGAAAGACCUUAUGCUUUUGGAGCGGCCGAUGUCUGAUUAGCUAGUUGGUGAGGUAAAGGCUUACCAAGGCGACGAUCAGUAGUUGGUCUGAGAGGACGACCAGCCACACUGGGACUGAGACACGGCCCAGACUCCUACGGGAGGCAGCAGUGGGGAAUUUUGGACAAUGGGCGCGAGCCUGAUCCAGCAAUGCCGUGUGAGUGAAGAAGGCCUUCGGGUUGUAAAGCUCUUUCAGUCGAGAAGAAAAGGUUGUGACUAAUACUCACAAUCCAUGACGGUAUCGACAGAAGAAGCACCGGCUAACUACGUGCCAGCAGCCGCGGUAAUACGUAGGGUGCGAGCGUUAAUCGGAAUUACUGGGCGUAAAGGGUGCGCAGGCGGUUCUGUAAGUCAGAUGUGAAAUCCCCCGGGCUUAACCUGGGAAUUGCGUUUGAAACUACAGGGCUAGAGUGUAGCAGAGGGGGGUGGAAUUCCUGUGUAGCAGUGAAAUGCGUAGAGAUAUGGAAGAACAUCGAUGGCGAAGGCAGCCCCCUGGGUUAACACUGACGCUCAGGCACGAAAGCGUGGGGAGCAAACAGGAUUAGAUACCCUAGUAGUCC